Dreissena polymorpha is the source of this 953-nucleotide long non-coding RNA. RefSeq lists it as uncharacterized. The record is from RefSeq and is a predicted model, not a curated record. NCBI's taxonomy places the organism in Eukaryota, Metazoa, Mollusca, Bivalvia, Myida, Dreissenidae. The transcript has 2 exons.
AAGUACACAAAGGCAUAUUCUCAACAUCAGAGACAGACAUAGGAAGUUGUGAUAUUAUGAAACACAGAAUAGAAUUAAUCGACAAAACCCCUUUCAAAGAAAGAUAUAGACGUAUUCCACCAUCAAUGAUAGAAGAAGUGAGGAAACAUUUAGAAGAUUUGUUAGCCAGUGGCGUCAUGUUUGGUAUUUUAAUAUGCAGAUAAAUAUUCUGUUUAUCUAUUUGUUUUUUACUAAUUCAUAGUUAAUUUUUAUUGCAGGUAAGAGGCAAUCCGGAGCAAACUAUCCAAUAUAUUUGAUAUUUGCUAAAUGUAUUUUUAUUUAGUACUGAAAGUCUUGACUUAAGUAUUUAAGUAGUUAUUAGUAACACUAACAUAGUUAGUGUAGUUGUAUUUGAAGUACGAGGUUGUUUUAUUUGGUACAUUUCAAGUCGGGACGACUUGAUUUUCGGAGAGGGGGAGAAUGUAACUAGGCGUAAAACUUAGUAUAGUGUAACCUGUACAUUAAGGUUGCGGUUAAUAAUGUUUUGGUUUGUCCCAAGCGGAAGUCAUUCGCUUGUCACUUUUUCAUAGAACAGAUUUGGAGAAAGAAAUAGAAAUCCAGUUAGUUUUAUAUAUUUCAUUAGGAAUCAGUAAAUGAUAAGUAAGUCAUAACAUUAAGAGGUAUUACUGCUUUUGUAUUUGUGUUUAUCAUCCCCGAUUCUUUCUUCUAUUCUUUUAUUUCUUUACUCAAACUAUCGGGCUAUCGGUAAAAAUAUGUUGUUAUGAAUGAUCACUUUCACUUUGCAAUAAUUAAUAUUUCAGCUAGCAGAACUAACCCCACCAGCCAUAUAUAGGAACAGCAGGUCCUGAAUAGCACAUAUUCAGACGUCAUCUUCUACUACUGACUUCCUAUAAACAAGGCUUAAGCUAUAUGAAUAUUGAUUGUAUUCAGUGAAUAAAGUAUAUUGUAACUUG